Molecule: unclassified non-coding RNA, 310 nt
Filed under: Hevea brasiliensis (rubber tree)
Lineage: Eukaryota; Viridiplantae; Streptophyta; Magnoliopsida; Malpighiales; Euphorbiaceae
Source: RNAcentral
GAGCAGGAUUAACAACACAGGUAGCUCUCUUAUCCAAGUAAUAAGAGGGUCCACUACUUCUGAAUCACAUCCAUCUGGUUGCCACAUUCCUUUUCUAGAAAAAAGCAUUUCUUCAAUUGCAGUAAGGCAAGCCAAUUUUNGAUUGCAAUCAAGGAAUGUCUUUGUAAAUGCCUUUAGAAGGCGAGACUUCCAGUUGCCUAUCACAUGUGCUACAAGUUUUGGGAUAAAAUGAACUAGUGUAAGUAUCUGCUUUUCUCUAACUGCUCUGCCAGACCUUGUUUCACUGUGGAUCUUUUCAAGCAGUGCAUGC